CGUAAAGAACCUACCUUAUAGACAGGGACAACAUUGGAAACGAUAGCUAAUACCUGAUAAGAAAGAAACUCGCAUGAGAGAAGUUCGAAAGUCGGAGCAAUCUGACACUAUAAGAUGGCUUUGCGGUGCAUUAGCUAGUUGGUAGAGUAAAAGCCUACCAAGGCGACGAUGCAUAGCCGACCUGAGAGGGUGAUCGGCCACAUUGGGACUGAGACACGGCCCAGACUCCUACGGGAGGCAGCAGCU
This 246-nucleotide ribosomal RNA is filed under the name uncultured Gemella sp. RNAcentral's name for it is "partial 16S ribosomal RNA". It matches the Rfam family "Bacterial small subunit ribosomal RNA", at positions 116 to 355 of the family's 1533-position model. Lineage: Bacteria; Bacillati; Bacillota; Bacilli; Caryophanales; Gemellaceae. The record is from RNAcentral.